GUCACGAUCCGCUUAUUGCGGGGUGUCGUGAUGGUUCUUUUCACCGAUCCCAAAAGUGCAAAAAGGCAAACAACAAGGGACUAUCAGUUAAUCACAACAAAUGCACCUUUAUUAGGGGCCAAAACAGUAAAUGUGAUAGUGGGGUUAAGAAAGGAGUUAAAAGGAUAGAGAGAGAGAGAGAAGAGGGGUAUGGGAAUAGCUACCAACACAGGCGAGAUCCUCAGUGGUCCGGACGAUGGGGAUCCGUCUGUCGUGUCGGGGAAGUCUCCGAAGUUCUGGUCGACUUGGGGGUCCAGUUAUAGUCCACAGAGGAAAGAGGGGGGAACAAGUGUAACAAUGAAAGUCCAUUGUAAUCGCCACGAGGGAACAGGUGAGUCCACAGAAACCACCAAAGCAAGACGAAUCCAAUGAAGAAUAAGUCCAUUAAAAUUACUGAAGGGAAACAGGUCAUGUCAUUAGUGGUCAGACCACCAAUUUCCCCUCCUCCCUGUAGUAGGGGUCUCAGUCUCAGUCCUUGGGAGGAGGGUUCUCAUUCUUUGUCUGUCACAGUGGUAACGAGGCAGAUGAGGGGUCUUCAAUGAAGGACCACGGGAGUCACCCCAAAAGUUCAUUUGGCUUAAGAACGGAGAUUAGAAGCAGGCUGCGCAUCAGGCUGUCCCGUGCUGGGUCCAUGUCAGGUCCUUGCCAAGUCCUUGCCAACUCCUUGCCAAGUUCUUGCCAGCCCUUGUUCGGAAUAGCCAGCGUGACGGUUCAGUGGUUGCACCUGCGCUGUGUCCUGUUCUAAGCCGGAACUGCAGUGGAGGAAGGGAUUCUUUCUCGCGGCAAUCGGAAGGCAGAAUGGAAAAUGAGGGGCUUCAGACGGGCUCUUACACAUGGGAGACACGUCCCGAAACCUGGGAGUGGCUGCACGGGGUGCCCAUGGUGGGGAGAGGGCAGAGAUGGAGAGCAAGGCUCCCGUGUGUCCUGACAGGGCCUGACUCUGUCCCCUGGGGUUGGGGGAGCUGUCACAGGGCAGGGAGGGCCAGGGCUGGCAGGGGCUGCUCAGGGAUGGGUUUGGCCCGUGUCCCUCGAAGCAGCGACUGCCCAAGCAGCUGCGCUGGCCCCGGGCUCUCCUCCCGGCCUGCUGGGCUUUGUUGGGUGGCACAGCCUGUGCCAAGGGGCGGCAAGGGGCCUGCAGGCCCCAGCUCUGGGGGAAACAGAGAACGUCCUGGCCGUAUCCACUGUGCUGCCAGCUCGGCAGUGCAGCACAGCACGGGCUCACGCUCCCCAUUGCUCCCACAGACGUUAUCACUGAAACAGGAAUAUUUGCCCCGGAUCCAGUGCGCCUCCCAAGAAUUGUCUGCCCCCAGGAUGUGCGCAGGUCCUGCAUGAUAGGCACGGUGGUGACACUGUUCACCGUGCCCCUCGUGCUGAUCAGCUGCUAUCUUGGCAUUCGGAAGCUGUACCAGAGCAGACGUGCUUUUUCCAGUUAUUUGAGAUAGUGAAUGAUGGCUGGACCAUCGAGGAUCUCGUCUCGACGGUGGUAGCUCUAUUCCCCUUCCUCUCUUUUCUCUCUAUUUCCCUUUUCUGUCCCUUCUAUCGCAUUUGCUGUUGGUACCUAAAUAAAGAUGCAUUUGUUGUGAUUCAA
Vidua chalybeata is the source of this 1627-nucleotide long non-coding RNA. RefSeq lists it as uncharacterized. The transcript has 2 exons. The record is from RefSeq and is a predicted model, not a curated record. Lineage: Eukaryota; Metazoa; Chordata; Aves; Passeriformes; Viduidae.